AAAUUGAAGAGUUUGAUCAUGGCUCAGAUUGAACGCUGGCGGCAGGCCUAACACAUGCAAGUCGAACGGUAACAGGAAGCAGCUUGCUGCUUUGCUGACGAGUGGCGGACGGGUGAGUAAUGUCUGGGAAACUGCCUGAUGGAGGGGGAUAACUACUGGAAACGGUGGCUAAUACCGCAUAACGUCGCAAGACCAAAGAGGGGGACCUUCGGGCCUCUUGCCAUCAGAUGUGCCCAGAUGGGAUUAGCUUGUUGGUGAGGUAACGGCUCACCAAGGCGACGAUCCCUAGCUGGUCUGAGAGGAUGACUAGCCACACUGGAACUGAGACACGGUCCAGACUCCUACGGGAGGCAGCAGUGGGGAAUAUUGCACAAUGGGCGCAAGCCUGAUGCAGCCAUGCCGCGUGUAUGAAGAAGGCCUUCGGGUUGUAAAGUACUUUCAGCGGGGAGGAAG
This 453-nucleotide ribosomal RNA is filed under the name Salmonella enterica. RNAcentral describes it as "partial 16S ribosomal RNA". It matches the Rfam family "Bacterial small subunit ribosomal RNA", at positions 1 to 450 of the family's 1533-position model. RNAcentral also lists the same sequence under 1 other name. The record is from RNAcentral. Lineage: Bacteria; Pseudomonadati; Pseudomonadota; Gammaproteobacteria; Enterobacterales; Enterobacteriaceae.